This 254-nucleotide ribosomal RNA is filed under the name uncultured bacterium. Its description in RNAcentral is "partial 16S ribosomal RNA". It matches the Rfam family "Bacterial small subunit ribosomal RNA", at positions 524 to 776 of the family's 1533-position model. The record is from RNAcentral.
UACAGAGGGUGCAAGCGUUAAUCGGAAUUACUGGGCGUAAAGCGUGCGUAGACGGUUAUUUAAGUCAGGUGUGAAAGCCCCGGGCUCAACCUGGGAAUUGCAUUUGAGACUGAAUAGCUAGGGUGCGGAAGAGGGAAGCGGAAUUUCCGGUGUAGCGGUGAAAUGCGUAGAUAUCGGAAGGAACACCAGUGGCGAAGGGCGGGUCUCUGGGCCGAUACUGACGCUGAGGAGCGAAAGCGUGGGGAGCGAACAGG